RNAcentral lists this ribosomal RNA (428 nucleotides) under Acidobacteriota bacterium. Its description in RNAcentral is "Acidobacteria bacterium partial 16S ribosomal RNA". It matches the Rfam family "Bacterial small subunit ribosomal RNA", at positions 355 to 776 of the family's 1533-position model. The record is from RNAcentral. Lineage: Bacteria; Pseudomonadati; Acidobacteriota.
UGGGGAAUUUUGGACAAUGGGGAAACCCCGAUCCAGCCCAUCCGCGUGUGCGAUGAAGGCCCUCGGGUUGUUAAGCCCCUUUGGCAGGAAAGAAAAGUCAUGGGUUAAUACCCCGGGAAACUGACGGUACCUGCAGAAUAAGCACCGGCUAACUACGUGCCAGCAGCCGCGGUAAUACGUAGGGUGCAAGCGUUAAUCGGAAUUACUGGGCGUAAAGCGUGCGCAGGCGGUUCGGAAAGAAAGAUGUGAAAUCCCAGAGCUCAACUUUGGAACUGCAUUUUUAACUACCGGGCUAGAGUGUGUCAGAGGGAGGUGGAAUUCCGCGUGUAGCAGUGAAAUGCGUAGAUAUGCGGAGGAACACCGAUGGCGAAGGCAGCCUCCUGGGAUAACACUGACGCUCAUGCACGAAAGCGUGGGGAGCAAACAGG